CAGUAGCCGCGGUAAUACGUAGGGUGCGAGCGUUAAUCGGAAUUACUGGGCGUAAAGCGUGCGCAGGCGGUUAUAUAAGACAGAUGUGAAAUCCCCGGGCUCAACCUGGGACCUGCAUUUGUGACUGUAUAGCUAGAGUACGGUAGAGGGGGAUGGAACUCCGCGUGUAGCAGUGAAAUGCGUAGAUAUGCGGAGGAACACCGAUGGCGAAGGCAAUCCCCUGGACCUGUACUGACGCUCAUGCACGAAAGCGUGGGGAGCAAACAGGAUUAGAUACCCCAGUAGUCCCUGUCUCUUAUAC
This 301-nucleotide ribosomal RNA is filed under the name uncultured bacterium. Its description in RNAcentral is "partial 16S ribosomal RNA". It matches the Rfam family "Bacterial small subunit ribosomal RNA", at positions 509 to 807 of the family's 1533-position model. The record is from RNAcentral.